Molecule: long non-coding RNA, 650 nt
Filed under: Dromaius novaehollandiae (emu)
Lineage: Eukaryota; Metazoa; Chordata; Aves; Casuariiformes; Dromaiidae
Description: lncRNA (ENSDNVG00000001180.1)
Source: RNAcentral
CAAAGAUCACUCUGAGCUGUUGUAGGGGUCCAGAUCUCUCCGUUUUAGUGAAUGUGGGACUGAGUGUAAAAGUCUYUUCUUUUUUUUUUUUUUGGUUGUAUUAGCCAUAGAAAUCUUGAUGAAAAUGUUUGAAUGUGCUUUUUAACUCCAAAUGUGCAGAAGGAUUUGUGACACCUACUGCAAGGACCAUAGGAGAGUCUCAGAAAUGAACUGAGUUCCCAGGCUCUGUCUGUGAGCUGAAUCUGAAGCUUGGAUGUGAAACCCUCUGGAUCCGACCUUGCGGCCAAGCCUUGUGGGUGGAACAGCGGCAGAGGCAAACAAAGCACGAGUCUGCAAGAGGCUGUCCCAACCCUGCCUGCGUUGCAUGCGCCAGGACUGUUGGAGGCUGUGCUGUGCCCCUCUCGGCCAAGCCCCCUCUUUCAUGUCAGCCAGCUGUUGCUCCUGCCACCCCUGUGCUACCCCUUCUAAUGGCUGUUCAGAAGUGGGGGAUGAAAGGGAGAGCUUCACAGGAGAAGAUGCCAAAACCAGAGGUGAUGAUUUUCACUCUUUCAACACAUCAUCAAAUAGAUCACGCUGCAUAAUUAGUCCCUCUGAACUGGGGGCCCGUUAAUUAGGAUGCAGAGUGUUUGUUUAAGGGAGCCUUGCUCUUU